This 305-nucleotide small nuclear RNA is filed under the name Prolemur simus (greater bamboo lemur). Its description in RNAcentral is "7SK RNA (ENSPSMG00000016377.1)". It matches the Rfam family "7SK RNA". From Rfam's summary of the family: 7SK was discovered as an abundant small nuclear RNA in the mid-70s but a possible function has only recently been suggested. Two independent studies have found that 7SK RNA binds the CDK9/cyclin T complex (known as elongation factor P-TEFb). P-TEFb activates transcription by phosphorylating the C-terminal domain of RNA polymerase II. The record is from RNAcentral. Lineage: Eukaryota; Metazoa; Chordata; Mammalia; Primates; Lemuridae.
GGAUGUGAGGGCAAUCAGGCUAUGACAUCUGUCACCCCCUUGAUCACCAGGGUUGAUUCGGCUGAUCUGGCUGGCUAGCAGGGUGUCGCCUUCCUGCCCCACCACUCCAUGUGUGUCCCUCCUGAAGCUGUGUGUUUGGUGAAGAGGAUAACCUUCCCUGAUACAGGAGGAUUAUUCUUUGGUCAAGGGUAUACGAGGAGCUGUGUUCCUGCUAGAACCUCCAAACGUUCUCAAGAUUACAUAAAAACACUUUGAGGUAAAGAUACCAGGAAUUCAGGAAAUUUGGGAUACUUGGAAAGGUAAUC